Molecule: transfer RNA, 138 nt
Filed under: Eutypa lata UCREL1
Lineage: Eukaryota; Fungi; Ascomycota; Sordariomycetes; Xylariales; Diatrypaceae
Description: tRNA-Und (NNN) (tRNA-Und-NNN-2-1)
Rfam family: tRNA
About the family: Transfer RNA (tRNA) molecules are approximately 80 nucleotides in length. Their secondary structure includes four short double-helical elements and three loops (D, anti-codon, and T loops).
Source: RNAcentral
GCCCGGUUAGCUCAAUCGGUAGAGCGCGAGGUAAUUCUUUCUUCCUAGCUCUUCCAUUGGCUUUAACUAACCCUAGAUUAGACUCUUAAUCAAUAGAGGUUUAUCUCGAGGUUGCGGGUUCGACCCCCGCAUCGGGCU